UUAUCUGAACCUUCGGGGAACGAUAACGGCGUCGAGCGGCGGACGGGUGAGUAAUGCCUAGGAAAUUGCCCUGAUGUGGGGGAUAACCAUUGGAAACGAUGGCUAAUACCGCAUGAUGCCUACGGGCCAAAGAGGGGGACCUUCGGGCCUCUCGCGUCAGGAUAUGCCUAGGUGGGAUUAGCUAGUUGGUGAGGUAAGGGCUCACCAAGGCGACGAUCCCUAGCUGGUCUGAGAGGAUGAUCAGCCACACUGGAACUGAGACACGGUCCAGACUCCUACGGGAGGCAGCAGUGGGGAAUAUUGCACAAUGGGCGCAAGCCUGAUGCAGCCAUGCCGCGUGUGUGAAGAAGGCCUUCGGGUUGUAAAGCACUUUCAGUCGUGAGGAAGGCGGCGUCGUUAAUAGCGGCGUUGUUUGACGUUAGCGACAGAAGAAGCACCGGCUAACUCCGUGCCAGCAGCCGCGGUAAUACGGAGGGUGCGAGCGUUAAUCGGAAUUACUGGGCGUAAAGCGCAUGCAGGUGGUUUGUUAAGUCAGAUGUGAAAGCCCGGGGCUCAACCUCGGAAUAGCAUUUGAAACUGGCAGACUAGAGUACUGUAGAGGGGGGUAGAAUUUCAGGUGUAGCGGUGAAAUGCGUAGAGAUCUGAAGGAAUACCGGUGGCGAAGGCGGCCCCCUGGACAGAUACUGACACUCAGAUGCGAAAGCGUGGGGAGCAAACAGGAUUAGAUACCCUGGUAGUCCACGCCGUAAACGAUGUCUACUUGGAGGUUGUGGCCUUGAGCCGUGGCUUUCGGAGCUAACGCGUUAAGUAGACCGCCUGGGGAGUACGGUCGCAAGAUUAAAACUCAAAUGAAUUGACGGGGGCCCGCACAAGCGGUGGAGCAUGUGGUUUAAUUUCGAUGCAACGCGAAGAACCUUACCUACUCUUGACAUCCAGAGAACUUUCCAGAGAUGGAUUGGU
RNAcentral lists this ribosomal RNA (960 nucleotides) under Vibrio alginolyticus. RNAcentral describes it as "bacterial SSU rRNA". It matches the Rfam family "Bacterial small subunit ribosomal RNA", at positions 71 to 1015 of the family's 1533-position model. Lineage: Bacteria; Pseudomonadati; Pseudomonadota; Gammaproteobacteria; Vibrionales; Vibrionaceae. The record is from RNAcentral.